Molecule: ribosomal RNA, 450 nt
Filed under: uncultured bacterium
Lineage: Bacteria
Description: bacterial SSU rRNA
Rfam family: Bacterial small subunit ribosomal RNA
Source: RNAcentral
AUUGAACGCUGGCGACAGGCCUAACACAUGCAAGUCGAGCGCGAAAGUCUUCGGAUGAGUAAAGCGGCGAACGGGUGAGUAAUGCAUGGGAAUCUGCCUGGUAGUGGGGGACAACGUCUCGAAAGGGACGCUAAUACCGCAUACGCCUACGGGGAAAGGGGGGAGUCUUCGGACCUCUCGCUAUCAGAUGAGCCCAUGUCAGAUUAGCUAGUUGGUGAGGUAAAGGCUCACCAAGGCGACGAUCUGUAACUGGUCUGAGAGGAUGAUCAGUCACACUGGAACUGAGACACGGUCCAGACUCCUACGGGAGGCAGCAGUGGGGAAUAUUGGACAAUGGGGGGCAACCCUGAUCCAGCCAUGCCGCGUGUGUGAAGAAGGCCCUAGGUUGUAAAGCACUUUCAGUGGGGAGAAAGGUUAUUCACCUAAUACGUGAGUAGAUUGAUGUUACCA